GUGCUGGCUUUGGCAGCACAUAGACUAAAAUUAGAAUGAUACAGAAAAGAUUAGCCUGGCCCCUAUGCAAGGAGGACAUGCAAAUUUGUGGAGUGUUCU
RNAcentral lists this small nuclear RNA (99 nucleotides) under Lynx canadensis (Canada lynx). Lineage: Eukaryota; Metazoa; Chordata; Mammalia; Carnivora; Felidae. The record is from RNAcentral.